UCAUCUGAAUCAUUUUUAAGUGUGCAGUUCAGUGGUAUUUAACACAUCCAUACCGUUGUGCAGCUCUCAGGACUGACCCCCUCCCCCCUCCUGCACCCCGACAACCGCCAUUCCAUUUCCCGUCUCUAUGAAUUAGACUGCCCAGCUACCUCAAAUCAGUGGAAUCACGCAAUAGGUGUCUUUUUGUGUCUGGCUUAUUUCUCUGAGCACAAUGUUCUCAAGGUUCAUCCAUGCUGUUGUAGGUUUGUUUUAUAUAAAAAUAAACACAACACCAUCAUAAACCAUUACGAAACAUAUUUCCCCCCAGCCCCCACAUAACAUACUCCCAAUCUUAAAGUGGAUGUUCCACCAAAUCUGUGCCUUGUGUAUUCCGUGUCUUUCAGUGUCCCCAAGACCACAUGCCCCGCUUUGAGAAGCACAUCCUUCCCCACUCUGGCCACAUGUGUGGCCCCCUCACAGCUGGACUUCAGGGUCUGUGCUGAGUGGCGGCCUGUGUGUGUGUGUGUGUGUGUGUGUAUAAGUACAUGCGAGCACACCACCCCCCAUCUCUCUGCUGCCCUCCUUUGUUCUCAGCCCCGGGGGCUGUUGAUUCUUGGGAAUUUUCCAUUUUAGCUUUUUUUUUUUUUUUUGAAAUUUACACUAAUCCAUUGUCUUCCUUUUAAAAAUGAAGAAACUGCCAUGCAGGAAGGCUAACUUCCAGACGUGUCCCAGCCAAUGAGUGGCGAUGCCAGACUCCAGUCCAGGCCUGUGGACCGCACAGACUCACGCCUUCUCCAACCCCACCGUCUCCCAUGCUCCCACAUUCAUGGCCCACCCAUGAUGGAAUUCAGCAGGCCACCGGCUUCUGUCACUGCCAUUAACAUUGUGUUAAUGUCGUGAACCCCAUUUGUAGUUAUGUCGUGUUUAAUUUUUACAGGUCUACAAUCCCUUAUUUGCAGUUAUGAAAUUCAGAAGACUCAAAACUGAAAAUUUUCUCCUAAGUUUGUGAGUAAGACCUGGCCUGAACUCGUAUGAAGCUAUUUAGUGUCUCAAUUUAGCUUGUUUAGGUGACUAUUUGUAUGUUUUGCUGCAGAGCUAUAAGUGUGUGUGUGUGUGUUUUUUUUUUUUAAAGAUUAUUGAUCUGAGAGAGAGAAUGGGAGACAGAGAGCAUGAGAAGGUAAGGGUCAGAGGGAGAAGCAGACCCCCCGCUGAGCAGGGAGCCCGAUGUGGGACUCGAUCCCGGGACUCCAGAAUCAUGACCUGAGCCGAAGGCAGUUGCUUAACCAACUGAGCCACCCAGACGCCCAGUGUGUGUGGUUUUGUUGUUGCUUUUGGUUGGUUAGUUUUGAUUAAAGAGGGCUUCCCAACUGUCCUGGAGGUCAUAUAUCAUAUGCAGUUUCGUAACUUCUAAGAGCUGAAAAAUGCUCAAUCCUGAAACACAUUUGGCUCCAAGAGUUUCUAAUAAGGAACUGGGACCUAGAUAUAUAUAAUACGGUUUUAAAGGCUGUAAAAAUAAAAAGCUCAGACCCAGUUUUAUGUCUAUAUAUCUUUAAGUGGUGUUAUACUUGAAAAUAAGGGUCAUAGGAUAACAGGUCCAUAAAUUACUGAAGUUAGAGAAGGUCCCCAGCCACAGCCCCUACCCCCACCAAAGUUAGUAGAAUUUCCUUCCUGAUUUAACUUGAGUGUUGGGAAGUCCAUUUCUGAAUUGAGAGGUGCUGGCCCUCUGACUUUCUGGGUAAUGUUUCUAGGCCUUCGGCACAAGGCACAGAGACUUCUCAAUUUCCGGGCUGAGAAUUAUCCAAACACAGAGGGGCUGAAGCAGCAGAGGAGAUAAGCAGCACCCUGGGAGUGUGGUGGAGAGAGACCAAGAGGAAAGGAUCCAAAAGCGUCAGCAACUGGCCCGUGGGGGUCCCAGUCCAGGGCCCCUCCCUGGCAGCCGGCAGGGACAGCAGUGAGAGGCUGAGCCAGACAGGUCUUGGCAAACAGGGUGCAAGCAUGUUCCUGUUGGGGUUGGUAUCUACAAGGACCAUUCAGGCGAUUUUCCGGGGGUGAUAUGGGUAAGUGUAACCUGCACGAAAGUGGUGGGGGCAGGAGCCCAGUAUCCAGUACGACGGUCCUAACCAGAACUGUCCCUGGGCCAUGGUCUAUGACCUUGGCAGGGACUGCAGCCCUUGUCUGUGCCCGAUUCUCUAGCCUUCCUGUCAAUUCCAUGAGCUCUCCAUGUCCUUACUCUAAGCAAUGCUUCUGUUUAAGUGAACUACCUCUUUUUCUGUGCAUUGCAACCAAGAACCCUGUGUGUCAGGUCCGAUUAGAUGUGCAAGAGAUCUAUUAGGGGAAACGCUGUGAAGAUAAGCAGGUGGGAGCAGGAACAGGGCUGGCCUUCAGAACGUGAUGCAGCCCGAUGUGUGGCAACUGGACUCUGUCCUCAGCCAUGCUUCCUGCACCGUGCUCUCUUGAGGGACAUCCUCACGGCUGCCACCAACCUCUGGUACAGGGCACAAGGUGGGGGGUUGGGGGGGGGGACGAUAGAUCCCUGACCUUGCAAAGUCCACAGUUGAGAGGGAGAAAGAGAGACAAAUGUAUCAUUGCCGCUGUUCCAAACUGCAAACCCCGCGCUGGGGGAGCACAGAGGCAGGCCGACGGGAAGGCUUCCUGGAAGUGGCGCAUCCUGGGAGCCCUGAGGUUUUGCCUUCUCCCUUCUCUCUCCAGUUUUCCAUCCCAACCCAGCCUGACAAAAAGAUCUGGCCCCUUAUUUCUAGGUGGUGUCCCCAGAUCUGCAGUCUGCAGAGAUGAUCUGGAAGUACGGAAUCCAGGAUACAGGCAGAGGGAACAUGGGGCAGAAGGAACUCACUUUUACUGGCGCUUAGUGGGCUCUUUAGAGAAGCGCUGACUUCCCUACACCACCCUCUGUGGGAGGCUCCAGUGAGCAAGCUGAGGCUUAAGUUUUUGGCACGGAACUCACCACGUCCCUCUGGGGUAGCAGAACCUGAGGCUUGGAGAGGAGGACAACUUGCCUAAGCCAGGAACUGCUCCGGCCUUGCUGGUGGGUCCAAGGCUGCCCCUUAGCACUGUGUGUGGGCGCUGCCUCCCCACCCUCGGGGGCUUCUUUGCAGCAGGGGUGGGGAGUAAGAACUCGUGGGCCGGGGUGUCUGAAAAGGGCUCAUUGAGGAAAACCAGGAACAGGCCAGGAAGGAAGGUGGGGCCUCGGCUACCCAGCCCCCACCUUAGCAGAAGAAGCAGCUUCCUCCUCCUUUACGGGGGACCUUUGACCAAGGUCAGAAAAUUCCUGGCUUACAGGGGCAGGGAGUGGGGCUUCUUGAAUGGAAGAAACUGUUUUCCUCUUUUAGACAGGCUUUGAGUAAUUCCAUUCCCUUUUCUCUGCCAAGCUUUAUCUUUGCCUAAGAAUUCGCACCAGUCCCCAGGGGCCCCUGCUACACAGCUGCAGCUGCUUCUCUCUUCAUUGAUGGGUAAGAAAUGGGGCAGAUUUAAAAUGCUUGUUUUAAUAAGCAUUUUGUCUGAAUAUCAGUGACAGCUUAGAGAAAUGACCUACAGGAGCUGGGAGGUCUGAACAAGGGGUGGGCUUCCUGCUGGUGACUUUCCUCUGCCCCAGUGGAGACCCGGGGAAGAAAUGACCAGUGGCCAGGGUAAGCAAAGGCCUAAAGGCCUAAGAGGAUGAGGGAAAGGGACCAGCCUUGUGACCUCCCCAACUCCCAUGUGGCCCAGGGCCAAUGCUGUUUUCCUAGAGGUAGGUGAUUUUCAGGUUCAAAAAAGGGAUGGCAGGCAAGAAGUGCCUUUGUUGAGAAAAAGGACAACUAGGAAAGGAAAUUGAAUUGAUCACAUUUAUUGAGCCCCUACCUUGAUCCUACCAAGUGCCCUGGGCACAGGUGAUGGGGAGGCAAGAUUUAUCUUCAGUUUACAGCUGAGUCUGGGAGACUCAGAUUCCCACAGAGCGAUGCACCAUAAACCACCAAAGACAGGGACAGAGACUGAGGGAGCCCGGUGGGCACCGACUCUGCCUGCCAUGGUGUGGGGAAGGCUUCUCGAAGAGCCAACAUUUGGCCAGGGUCUUGAGGGAUGAGUAGGAGUUUGCAAGGUAGAGUGGGCUUCCAGAGUGCAUUCUCAGCAGUGGGAAACUGGCUAGGAGGGUAGGAAGCAGCAGUGUAUGUGUGGAGAAACUCAGCUGUGGCUGAAGUUCGGGCAUAUGUUGGAGAUAGUGCAGGUUUGGUUCCAAACCACCGCAAUAAA
Molecule: long non-coding RNA, 4224 nt
Organism: Mirounga angustirostris (Northern elephant seal)
Lineage: Eukaryota; Metazoa; Chordata; Mammalia; Carnivora; Phocidae
Exons: 3
Source: RefSeq, a predicted model, not a curated record